CGCGCCAAAAGACUUCAACGCCGACUUUGACUUCGCGGAGCGAGACGCUCCGAGCCGGGGGGAGGACUGGGCCAUGGAGGACGUCAUGAAGCAGCUCAAGAACAAGAGAACCGCAACCACUCUGGACCAGAAAAUAGACAAAAUCAGAAAGAAGAGGAAAGCGGAGGAGAAAACGCCUGAG
Molecule: long non-coding RNA, 181 nt
Organism: Pseudoliparis swirei
Lineage: Eukaryota; Metazoa; Chordata; Actinopteri; Perciformes; Liparidae
Exons: 3
Source: RefSeq, a predicted model, not a curated record